UCUCUCGUAGUUCAAUGGCAGAACAGUGGGUUUUUAACCCAUCAAUAAAAGUUCGAUUCUUUUCGGGGGAA
This 71-nucleotide transfer RNA is filed under the name Candidatus Scalindua sp. RNAcentral describes it as "tRNA-Lys". It matches the Rfam family "tRNA". From Rfam's summary of the family: Transfer RNA (tRNA) molecules are approximately 80 nucleotides in length. Their secondary structure includes four short double-helical elements and three loops (D, anti-codon, and T loops). Further hydrogen bonds mediate the characteristic L-shaped molecular structure. tRNAs have two regions of fundamental functional importance: the anti-codon, which is responsible for specific mRNA codon recognition, and the 3' end, to which the tRNAs corresponding amino acid is attached (by aminoacyl-tRNA synthetases). tRNAs cope with the degeneracy of the genetic code in two manners: having more than one tRNA (with a specific anti-codon) for a particular amino acid; and 'wobble' base-pairing, i.e. permitting non-standard base-pairing at the 3rd anti-codon position. Lineage: Bacteria; Pseudomonadati; Planctomycetota; Candidatus Brocadiia; Candidatus Brocadiales; Candidatus Scalinduaceae. The record is from RNAcentral.